UCCAAAUAUUUACCUAAUGGAAUUUUGGAAUACAAUUCCUUCUAUACAAAAACCAAUAUUUUGAUUCCCCUUCCUUGAAUCUCACUGAAGCCUAAACUUGCUUAUAUUUUGUUGAGUUAUAUUAUUCUGUUUUGGGGAUCGUGAAACACUCCAAGGAAAAAGAGAGAGAAGCCUGUGCUGCAGAAGGGGGUUGGUUGGACUGUUGUAUUACACCAUAAGGGUAGAAAGAAAACUAGGGACUCUGAAAGUGGAAUCGCUGUUGUGUCGGUUGCCCAAGCUCCUGUGGAAAAUAAAAUGGCCAAAAAGAAGCAUAAAGGAGUUGGACUAGAUUUUUAUGUUCAAAUAAAAGAAGUCCAGAGAAAUGAAAUCAUGACCCUGCAGUGCAAAUUUGAGGAGGACAAAAGGCGGCUGCAGCAGCUGAGAGCUGCCAGGAAAUUUAGACCAUAUUAAAACAGUUUCCAGCAUGGUAGGUACAAACACUUUUUUUUUAAUCAUAGGAUACAUGGCCACAAAACUUUAGCAGAUUUACUCUUGGCACUCCAAUUUUGGUCUAAUGUAGUUGACCAUUUAUUGUAGCUUAUAGUUAUUGUAUUUUAAGUUAAAGAAAGUCCAAAGCAAAAAAAUACUGCUACAUUGUGACCUCAUUUUGGUAUGUUUGCCAAGAUUAUAUAGCAUCUUUGAGGCUUCAGGCCGAAA
This is a long non-coding RNA of Glycine soja, 696 nucleotides long. RefSeq lists it as uncharacterized. NCBI's taxonomy places the organism in Eukaryota, Viridiplantae, Streptophyta, Magnoliopsida, Fabales, Fabaceae. The transcript has 3 exons. The record is from RefSeq and is a predicted model, not a curated record.